UAGGGAAUAUUGCACAAUGGGCGCAAGCCUGAUGCAGCAACGCCGCGUGAACGAUGAAGGUCUUCGGAUCGUAAAGUUCUGUUGCAGGGGAAGAUAGUGACGGUACCUGCACAAGAAGCCCCGGCUAACUACGUGCCAGCAGCCGCGGUAAUACGUAGGGGGCGAGCGUUAUCCGGAUUCAUUGGGCGUAAAGCGCGCGCAGGCGGCUCUUCAAGCGGAACCUCUAACCCCGGGGCUCAACCUCGGGCCGGGUUCCGAACUGGAGGGCUCGAGUGCGGUAGAGGCAGGCGGAAUUCCCGGUGUAGCGGUGGAAUGCGCAGAUAUCGGGAAGAACACCGAUGGCGAAGGCAGCCUGCUGGGCCGGCACUGACGCUGAGGCGCGAAAGCUAGGGGAGCGAACAGG
This 403-nucleotide ribosomal RNA is filed under the name Verrucomicrobiota bacterium. RNAcentral describes it as "Verrucomicrobia bacterium partial 16S ribosomal RNA". It matches the Rfam family "Bacterial small subunit ribosomal RNA", at positions 355 to 776 of the family's 1533-position model. Lineage: Bacteria; Pseudomonadati; Verrucomicrobiota. The record is from RNAcentral.